GUUAGCUCAAUUGGUUAAAGCAUGGUGCUGAUAAUGCCAAGGUCACUGGUUUGAUCCCAAUAUGGACCA
This is a non-coding RNA of Podarcis lilfordi (Lilford's wall lizard), 69 nucleotides long. The record is from the annotation of a GenBank genome assembly. NCBI's taxonomy places the organism in Eukaryota, Metazoa, Chordata, Lepidosauria, Squamata, Lacertidae.